AACUUCGAUCCAAGCGGUUUAUGUACCUGCGGACGAUUUGACUGACCCUGCUCCUGCCACAACAUUUGCCCAUUUGGAUGCUACUACCGUACUUUCCAGAGGAUUAGCUUCCAAGGGUAUUUAUCCAGCAGUAGAUCCUUUAGAUUCAACCUCAACUAUGUUAUAGCCUCGGAUCGUUGAAUCUAAAGGAUCUACUGCUGGAUAAAUACCCUUGGAAGCUAAUCCUUUGGAAAGUACGGUAGUAGCAUCCAAAUGGGCAAAUGUUGUGGCAGGAGCAGGGUCAGUCAAAUCGUCCGCAGGUACAUAAACCGCUUGGAUCGAAGUUAUAGAUCCCUUUUUAGUAGAAGCAAUUAUUU
Long non-coding RNA from Brachypodium distachyon (stiff brome), 356 nucleotides. RefSeq lists it as uncharacterized. NCBI's taxonomy places the organism in Eukaryota, Viridiplantae, Streptophyta, Magnoliopsida, Poales, Poaceae. The transcript is spliced from 2 exons. The record is from RefSeq and is a predicted model, not a curated record.